Molecule: ribosomal RNA, 253 nt
Filed under: uncultured bacterium
Lineage: Bacteria
Description: partial 16S ribosomal RNA
Rfam family: Bacterial small subunit ribosomal RNA
Source: RNAcentral
GACAGAGGUGCCAAGCGUUAGGCGGAAUCACUGGGCUUAAAGCGUGUGUAGGCGGAAUGGUAAGUACCUUGUGAAAUCCCACGGCUCAACCGUGGAACUGCUUGGUAUACUGCUUUUCUUGAGCCACUUAGGGGCAACCGGAACAAACGGUGGAGCGGUGAAAUGCGUAGAUAUCGUUUGGAACGCCAAUGGUGAAAACAGGUUGCUGGGAGUGUGCUGACGCUGAGACACAAAAGCCAGGGGAGCAAACGGG